Molecule: ribosomal RNA, 512 nt
Filed under: uncultured bacterium
Lineage: Bacteria
Description: partial 16S ribosomal RNA
Rfam family: Bacterial small subunit ribosomal RNA
Source: RNAcentral
GAUGAACGCUGGCGGCGUGCCUAAUACAUGCAAGUCGAACGAAACUUCUUUAUCACCGAGUGCUUGCACUCACCGAUAAAGAGUUGAGUGGCGAACGGGUGAGUAACACGUGGGCAACCUGCCCAAAAGAGGGGGAUAACACUUGGAAACAGGUGCUAAUACCGCAUAACCAUAGUUACCGCAUGGUAACUAUGUAAAAGGUGGCUAUACUACCGCUUUUGGAUGGGCCCGCGGCGCAUUAGCUAGUUGGUAGGGUAAAGGCUUACCAAGGCAAUGAUGCGUAGCCGAAUUGAGAGGUUGAUCGGCCACAUUGGGACUGAGACACGGCCCAAACUCCUACGGGAGGCAGCAGUAGGGAAUCGUCCACAAUGGGCGAAAGCCUGAUGGAGCAACGCCGCGUGGGUGAAGAAGGUCUUCGGAUCGUAAAACCCUGUUGUUAGAGAAGAAAGUGCGUGAGAGUAACUGUUCACGUUUCGACGGUAUCUAACCAGAAAGCCACGGCUAACUACGUG